This 549-nucleotide ribosomal RNA is filed under the name uncultured Pleosporales. RNAcentral's name for it is "eukaryotic LSU rRNA". The stretch from base 178 to 331 matches the Rfam family "5.8S ribosomal RNA". Lineage: Eukaryota; Fungi; Ascomycota; Dothideomycetes; Pleosporales. The record is from RNAcentral.
GACUGCGGAGGAUCAUUAUCUUCGGUGGUUUUCCACUGUAUUGAGGGGGACUUCGGUCCCUUCUCUCCACCCUUGUCUUUUGCGUACCUAUGUUUCCUCGGCGGGCUUGCCCGCCGGUUGGACAAACUUAUAACCUUUUUAAUUUUCAAUCAGCGUCUGAAAAAACUUAAUAAUUACAACUUUCAACAACGGAUCUCUUGGUUCUGGCAUCGAUGAAGAACGCAGCGAAAUGCGAUAAGUAGUGUGAAUUGCAGAAUUCAGUGAAUCAUCGAAUCUUUGAACGCACAUUGCGCCCCUUGGUAUUCCAUGGGGCAUGCCUGUUCGAGCGUCAUUUGUACCCUCAAGCUUUGCUUGGUGUUGGGUGUUUGUCCUCUCCUUUGUGUUUGGACUCGCCUUAAAAUAAUUGGCAGCCAGUGUUUUGGUAUUGAAGCGCAGCACAAUUUGCGAUUCUAUCCUAUAGCUCUAGCGUCCAUAAAGCCUAUUUUACACUUUUGACCUCGGAUCAGGUAGGGAUACCCGCUGAACUUAAGCAUAUCAAUAAGCGGAGGA